GGGGUAUUCUGCAGGUUUAUGAACUGGUCAUGGAUUCUGCAGUGACACCAGCUGAGUUUGCUUUUCUCUUUCCAAGCAGGGGUGAGAGGGCAGCAGGUGGAGCAGAGUCCUUCAGCCCUGAGGCUCCAGGAGGGAGCCAGCCCUACUCUGAGGUGCAAUUUUUCCACCACCAUGAGAAGUGUGCAGUGGUUACGACAGAAUCCUGGGGGCAGCCUCAUCAGUCUGUUUUUACUGACUCCAGGGACAAAGCAGGAGGGAAGGUUAAAGGCAACAAUGAAUUUUCAGGAGCGCUACAGCACCCUGAACAUCUCCACCUCCCAGAUGGAAGACUCAGGCACCUACUUCU
This 346-nucleotide long non-coding RNA is filed under the name Marmota monax (woodchuck). Lineage: Eukaryota; Metazoa; Chordata; Mammalia; Rodentia; Sciuridae. The record is from RNAcentral.